AGCGAACGCUGGCGGCAGGCCUAACACAUGCAAGUCGAACGAACUCUUCGGAGUUAGUGGCGGACGGGUGAGUAACACGUGGGAACGUGCCUUUAGGUUCGGAAUAACUCAGGGAAACUUGUGCUAAUACCGAAUGUGCCCUUCGGGGGAAAGAUUUAUCGCCUUUAGAACGGCCCGCGUCUGAUUAGCUAGUUGGUGAGGUAAAGGCUCACCAAGGCGACGAUCAGUAGCUGGUCUGAGAGGAUGAUCAGCCACAUUGGGACUGAGACACGGCCCAAACUCCUACGGGAGGCAGCAGUGGGGAAUCUUGCGCAAUGGGCGAAAGCCUGACGCAGCCAUGCCGCGUGAAUGAUGAAGGUCUUAGGAUUGUAAAAUUCUUUAACCGGGGACGAUAAUGACGGUACCCGGAGAAGAAGCCCCGGCUAACUUCGUG
Molecule: ribosomal RNA, 433 nt
Filed under: uncultured bacterium
Lineage: Bacteria
Description: partial 16S ribosomal RNA
Rfam family: Bacterial small subunit ribosomal RNA
Source: RNAcentral